This 167-nucleotide microRNA precursor is filed under the name Triticum aestivum (bread wheat). Its description in RNAcentral is "MIR2118 microRNA precursor family". It matches the Rfam family "MIR2118 microRNA precursor family". Lineage: Eukaryota; Viridiplantae; Streptophyta; Magnoliopsida; Poales; Poaceae. The record is from Rfam by way of RNAcentral.
GCUGGGAAGUGUAAGAAAAGAGGGCGAGUAGUGGGAGUGGGAACAUGGAGGAAAGCCUAACUUGCUUUGUUUUCACCUCUAGCGUUGGAGGUGAGAACUUGCUUUGGUGUUUCCCGAUGCCUCCCAUUCCCAUUGUUCUCAACCACUCCUUCCUCUUUCUUUUUGGG